AUGCUUACUUUGGCAGCACAUAUACUAAAAUGGAAACAAUACAGAGAAGAUUAGCACAGCCCCUGCAAAGGGACGACCCCAAAUUCGUGAAGCAUUCCAUUUUUUU
This is a small nuclear RNA of Diceros bicornis minor, 106 nucleotides long. The record is from RefSeq and is a predicted model, not a curated record. NCBI's taxonomy places the organism in Eukaryota, Metazoa, Chordata, Mammalia, Perissodactyla, Rhinocerotidae.